RNAcentral lists this ribosomal RNA (436 nucleotides) under uncultured bacterium. Its description in RNAcentral is "bacterial SSU rRNA". It matches the Rfam family "Bacterial small subunit ribosomal RNA", at positions 355 to 796 of the family's 1533-position model. The record is from RNAcentral.
UCGAGAAUCUUCGGCAAUGGGCGCAAGCCUGACCGAGCGACGCCGCGUGGAGGACGAAGGCCUUCGGGUUGUAAACUCCUGUCGAGGGGGAAGAAGGUCCGCAAGGGCUUGACUGAUCCCUGGAGGAAGCACGGGCUAAGUUCGUGCCAGCAGCCGCGGUAAGACGAACCGUGCGAACGUUAUUCGGAAUCACUGGGCUUAAAGCGCGUGUAGGCGGGAUGGUACGUCGGCCGUUGAAAUCCCCCGGCUCAACCGGGGAACGGGCGCCGAUACGGCCACCCUUGAGGAACGUAGGGGGACCUGGAACUUCCGGUGGAGCGGUGAAAUGCGUUGAGAUCGGAAGGAACGCCCGUGGCGAAAGCGAGGUCCUGGACGUUUACUGACGCUGAGACGCGAAAGCCAGGGGAGCAAACGGGAUUAGAUACCCCCGUAGUCC